Oncorhynchus tshawytscha (Chinook salmon) is the source of this 519-nucleotide long non-coding RNA. The record is from Ensembl. Lineage: Eukaryota; Metazoa; Chordata; Actinopteri; Salmoniformes; Salmonidae.
CGCACACCUGGCCCCUAUUCCCAGUGAUUGCAUCCUUGAUACCAAUGUGACACAGACAGUUUUACCAUUUCUGCCAGGCGAUGAUGGAUUCCUGUGUUGCCACGGAUGCGCAAACCCACAGCAUUGCAGACUCUGGCAAUCGGCCAUCUUCGAUUCCUAACCAGGAUGUGGAGUCAAACACAGAGGACAGCAAUGCAGGUGACAGCUUCAGAUGAACAUGGUACCUUCAGGCGUUUGGAAAUUGCUCCCAAGGAUGAACCAGACUUGUGGAGGUCUACAAUUUUUAUCUGAUUUCUUUUGAUUUCCCCAUGAUGUCAAGCAAAGAGGCACUGAGUUUCAAGCAGGUUGAGGAGCAUGCUCUCGCUGCACACUCAUGCCCCUCUGCACACUUAAGAAAGGAAUAAAGGAGAGAGAGGAGGAUAUGGAAACACAUGGUGGUUUUCUGUAUAGAUAAGUUAAUGUUUCACACAAUUAAUUAUGAAAAUAUUUAAAAAAUCACAAAUUGACUAAUUACUAAAG